RNAcentral lists this long non-coding RNA (487 nucleotides) under Androctonus crassicauda. Lineage: Eukaryota; Metazoa; Arthropoda; Arachnida; Scorpiones; Buthidae. The record is from RNAcentral.
CAACAAAUUUAAUAGUUAUACUGAGUUCAUGGUUUUUCAACCAAUUAAAAAUUCUGGUCAAGUUCCAAGUAAACUGAUCCAUACUUCAAAACAGACGAAUUACUUUUAUUACAGCCAAAACAAAACUUACAAAUCCGGCCACACAAAAUUCAACAUACACCAGCUCUCCCAGCUUGCACACAAUAAUUCUUUCCACAAUGUAUCCAAAUCCCGACGACAGCACAGAACACAACGGACCACCAGUGAACCGUGACAACAUGGGAGACUGUACAACGCCCUCCAUCGGAGCUUUCUUUUAUAACUGCUCGCAUUUACAUAUUAUCAUGAACAUUAAUUAAACAUACUAAUAUCAUUAAUAAAGAAAAAUUAUUUGUUUACAGAAAACAAUAUCAAUAGAAAAAACAUUAAUUAAACAUUGUUUAAAAUUAUUAAUUGCAUAAAAAAAAUUUUCUUUCUCUUUUCUUUAUUUUAUCCAUCCAACUCCGAC